Molecule: ribosomal RNA, 253 nt
Filed under: uncultured bacterium
Lineage: Bacteria
Description: partial 16S ribosomal RNA
Rfam family: Bacterial small subunit ribosomal RNA
Source: RNAcentral
UACAGAGACUGCAAGCGUUAUUCGGAUUCACUGGGCGUAAAGGGUGCGCAGGUGGCCAGGUGUGUCAGAUGUGAAAUCCCGGAGCUUAACUCCGGAACUGCGUCUGAAACUGCUUGGCUAGAGCAUUGGAGAGGGAAGUGGAAUUCACGGUGUAGCAGUGAAAUGCGUAGAUAUCGUGAGGAACACCAGAGGCGAAGGCGACUUCCUGGACAAUUGCUGACACUCAGGCACGAAAGCGUGGGUAGCCAAAGGG